CGUUCCCGCCCUCAGCCUCGCCUCAGCGAGCGGGUGGGGACGGAGUGGCGAAGCCUUCCAGUGUUACCUGUGCAGAUGAGCAGUGGCAUUGCACUGUGAGCCUGCUGAAUACAUUUCCUGUGCACAGAAACCACACAGCGGAUUUUUCACUUAACACAUUUGCAUUUGCUCCUUCAAUGAAGAAUGCUGUGUUCAGUCUGUGCAAGCCAACAACAGCUGGAGUAGGACUUGUGACAUUCCGGUUUGCUCCUGGCGUGUUUCACUGAGCAGUGGUUAUUCCUAUAGAGAAGGAGCUUUGCAGCUCGGGAAACACAUUGUGACUUCUCUUCUUCUCAUGGAUGUGUGGAAAAGGCAGGAGUGUGGACACGGAAAGUGAAGGGGUGGCGCCAAAGGGAGGAGAAGAAGAGAAAGCAGAAAUGCAAUGAACAGCGUGCUGGCUUUAGUUCUGCAAGCCACACAGGAGUGAAAGGCUUUCCCUGCAGCCAGAGCACCGAGGCCAUCAUCGCACAGAAAACUUCUAAGGACUGCUUAAUUUGAGUGUGCAGAUGCCAAACUCUUGGAUUGAUUAAUCAGCCAGAAAGUGGCAGCUUGUGGAAAUAUUUGGGCAUCCUCUAAAGGAGGAAAAUGAGGGCAAAAAACUGGCAGUGAGAGGGUGAUUCUCCAUUCAUUAAUAACUGUGCAAUGUAAAAGGUUUAAAAAUGGCUUGUUACUGAGUCAGUGGAGUUUCUCUGAGGCAAUGCUCUCAUAUGUGUUCUCUGGUGCUUUUUGGUAUAAAUGCAAUUAUUCUCUGAAACAGCAUUUAGUUGGACUGCAGGUUUCAGCUUAGGUAAUCUGAGCUUUGAGAAUUUAUUUCUGGACUGGAGUAGAUCUGCCUGGCAUUGACAUCUUUGAAAAGUGAACAGGAGAGGGGAGCCCUGAAACAUUGGUGAAGAAGAAGCCCUUUCCUGACAGGCGAAUGUUGACCGAGCUCUGGAAAACAGCAUCGGACCCUGCCUGAAAGAUAAUUGAUGUCCGGGUUCAAUCUCACCAGAGCUCUGCAAUCCCAUCAGGAGCACAGGAAUGGAUAUUCACCUUCCUUCCCCUUAUCCCCCACUGAGGCUUUCUGCAUGCAAGGCCUCAGCCUUUGCAUCAGUUUAUUGAUCUUUUAAUGUCGGAUCUAACUUGCUGCAGGGGCACUGUGAAUAAAAUAUUGCUAAAGUCCUGCCAUAUCAAUAUUCAUUUAUUUUUAUUGAUUAGUUGCCACUUCUAAAUUCUGGGUACUGAACUAAUGGAUGCUGAAUAACUAUUUUGAUUAAUGAAGCUAAAAUUGGCGUUAGCAUCCUACACUAACUACAGACAUUUUUUUUCUAUACAAAGCUAAUGAUUUCUUUUUUUAUGAUCUUCAAUUACUUUCAUUAUUUGACUUAUCCUUGGCACCUCACUGGA
Passer domesticus (house sparrow) is the source of this 1425-nucleotide long non-coding RNA. RefSeq lists it as uncharacterized. The record is from RefSeq and is a predicted model, not a curated record. The transcript has 3 exons. Lineage: Eukaryota; Metazoa; Chordata; Aves; Passeriformes; Passeridae.